RNAcentral lists this ribosomal RNA (325 nucleotides) under uncultured eukaryote. Its description in RNAcentral is "partial 18S ribosomal RNA". It matches the Rfam family "Eukaryotic small subunit ribosomal RNA", at positions 1470 to 1796 of the family's 1831-position model. The record is from RNAcentral.
CCCUUAGAUGUUCUGGGCCGCACGCGCGCUACACUGGUGCGUUCAACAAGUUUAUAUCCCUGCGUUCGAAAGGCGUGGGUAAUCUUUUAAAAGCGCACCGUGCUUGGGAUAGAUUUUUGCAAUUUUAAAUCUUCAACGAGGAAUCCCUUGUAUUUGCAAGUCAUCAACUUGCAGAGAAUACCGUCCCUGCUCUUUGUACACACCGCCCGUCGCACCUACCGAUUGAGAGCAUAGGUGAAAACUCAGGAUUGUCCACAGUGCAAUUAGUGUUGUGAACAAGAAUUUGUUUAAACCUCCGUUCUUAGAGGAAGGUGAANUCGUAACA